GACUGAACCAGGCAGCUGCUUCUAGUUCUCUCAAGUUCACCUGGAUCUGAAAGACAUAAGGAAAAACAGGAUAUAAGCUACACCCUGAAAGAGAGAAGGAAAGCCUGACAGGAGCCAUGAGCCUCUAGCAAACCAGUUCCCAAAUGCAGGUCUGAAGACCCAGAGCUACUCCAAGGCUGACACAGUUAAGCAGUGGUAUGCCUUCUUCAUCCUUUAUCCCCGUCUGCUUGGAAGACUCUGGAAUGGCAGAGCCAUUAGAUGGAAGAGCCUGGAUCCCUGAAUCACUACAUGGAGAAAAGCCACCCACCAACCAAAGAGUCCCCACCUUGGACUACUUGUGAGAGAGAGAUAAGCUUCUACCAUAUUAAGCCACUGAAAUUUUGAAGUUUUUUACAGCAGCUAGCACUACCCUAAUAGACCAAGUAAGCCUAGGAGUGUCUCCAGAGUAAUGGAGCCAAGUUCCUCAGAAUACAUGAAAAGCAAAGUCCUUUUGAAAAUGAAGUAAGAAGAAUCCUGUAGAUAAGAAAAAUAUAAAAUUACAGGCAUUUAGGAAAACAUUUCAAAAGGCAGCUAUGCAAACCCACAUGGAUCUAAGAUACUUUUUAGAUCUCACUGUGAGAGGAAAAAUAAUUCUAUAACUUAAGAAUCCAUUCUGCAGAAGGUGAUUUCUUUUAAAUUGUAUAACAGUAAGUGUUUUAUCCUCCCUGAAAAGUACAGUUCACACUAGCAAUAAAAAAGUCAAAGAAGUUCCAAUGAAACAAGAAAAUCAGUACAAUUAAAUAACCAACCACCCUUUUAACUGUGCCCAAGGGAAGCAAGCUUUGACACUAAACCACCAAGGAAUGUCUAAAGUUUAGGCCUACUUCUUGGUUGCAUAAUUAUGAAUCACUGAUGCCUAAUACUUGGACAGUUUUGGCUAUAAUCUAUGUCCUAACCAAGGAUAAAAUAUAUUUAGUAAGUGACAUUCAACAAAAUAUUUAUUGAGUACUGACUUUAUGCAAGCUCUCUUAAGGGACACAAUAAUGUAUAGGAUAAACAUCCCUCAAGGGACUCUAGCAGGAUAGAGAAAAUAAAUAUAUAGCUUUCACAGAAGGCGGUAUGUGAUAUGUGGGUUAUAAAGCACUCUAGGAGAAUAUUAAAAGUAUAAUCCUUAUUUUAAUAACCCAAAGACUUCUGUGAUAUACUGGAGGAAAUGAAUUUAAAGUCAACAUUUCUGUCUCAUAUACAACUCUGAGAGUGUAAAUUGAUAUGCUAUUUUUGGAUGGCAAUUUGGAAAUAUCUAUCAAAACGUGAAAAUAAGCAUCCCUUUCCCCUAGCAAUUCCACUUCUAGGAAUUUAUCCUAGGAAGAAAAGGAUAUGUACAGGAAUGUUAACUGAAAAUUAUGAUAAAUGGAAAAAUACACAGCUAUUAAAAAUAAACAGAUAACAGUAGAAAAAAUAUAUGUAGUAACAGGGAAAGAUAUUCAGAAUAUAUUAUUAAGUAAGAAAAGCAAGUAGUAUUUGGUUAGUUUAGCAUGAUCUAAUUAAUUUAUAAAGAAAAGGAUAUAUACAUAUACAUACCAAUAUAAUUAAUUGGAUAUAUAUUUAUUUAUAUUUUUUGAAUGACUAGAAGUCCACAUACCAGAGUGUUAACAGUGACUAAUUUGAAAGAGUGGGAUGGACACAGGGGUUGAAAAGGGUACUUGUAAUUUUUACAUUUCUGUACUUAAAAAAAAUUUUUAACCAUGUGUUCAUAUUUCUUGUACAAUAAGAUAGCAUGUAAUAAAACAGUAGUUCCCAGGACUAACUGCACUGUGAGGCUUUUCCCAGGCCAUUGUUCGCAGUAGCACUUCAUCUCAUUCCCUGAGAACCGUAGGGAAUUUCUUUGGUGAGUUCCUUGAAUUCCUUUGGUGAGACUGUAAGAGUUGUUUGUAGUAUGACUACCAACUAAUCUGUGUGGCCCACUGUGCUUCGCUGCCUGACGUUUUGCCUAAAUGCAAUGCCUACUAAAUUAACCUUAGCCAAUUGUGGAUUAUCAUGUCCUGCUGACUCAUAUGUUGGUGGUCACCGAGCUUGUAGAAGACAUAGUAAAGUUCCUAAUGUAGCUUAAAAAAAAUUGAUAAUCAAGAGGAAAACCAAAUAUAUUUUAACUGAGAAUUGUAUCUUCAUUGGUACAGUCAUAAACUCAGUAAAGAUUAAGUCUAAUACCUUUUCUAAAUGGUCCCUUGUUUAUUUUUUAUACACACCUUAUAUAAAAGCAGUGUAGACUACUUAAAAGUCAAAGAAGAGAAAAUGAUUUCCUUAAAAUUCAGCUUUAACCAUAUUUUUCUCUUUCAAAUAGAUCAUUUAAAUUAUCAAGUUAAUAUAACUAUAUUACAGGACAUCUAGAAAACAGAAUUGUAAGAGUGCCCAUAAUAUCACCCCAUUAAUAUAACUCAUAAUUUAUAUACUAGUCUUUUGCACAUACAACCUUUACACAUUUAUAAUCAGUAAACGGGCUUCCCUGGUGGCGUAGUGGUUGAGAAUCUGCCUGCCAAUGCAGGGACACGGGUUCGGGCCCUGGUCUGGGAAGAUCCCACAUGCCGCGGAGCAACUAAGCCCGUGAGCCACAACUACUGAGCCUGCGCGUCUGGAGCUUGUGCUCCGCAACGAGAGGCCCCGACGGUGAGAGGCCCGCGCACUGCAACUAGAGAAAGCCCUCGCACAGAAACGAAGACCCAACACAGCCAAAAAUUAAAUAAAUAAAAAUUUAUAAUCAGUAAACAUUUUUUCAAUUUGCUUUCAUGAAACAUGUCAUAAGCAGUUUUCCAUGUUUUUGUAUAAGCUUUACUUAUUGAUUUUUUUUGACUGCAUAAUAUUAUACCAAGUAGACUCCCAUCCUUAUUUUUCUAAAUAUUCCCCUAAUUUUAGACAUUUAGGUGGCUCUGAUUUUAAAUUACCAGAAAUAAAAUACUGCUAAAUACUUCUGUGCUGAUAUUUUCAGGUUACCUCUUUAAGAUAAGUUCCCCUACAUAGAACUACUGGGACAAAAUUUGUUUUAAAAUUAUAUGGCUCUUUCUACACAUUGCCACACUUACAAAGUUUGAUAGCAUUUGGUUAAAAAAGAAAAGAACUUUUAUAUUUCUUUGAUCACUAUUGAGAUUCAAAGUGUUUUCAGAUUUAAUAGUUCUAGCGCCCCUUUUGUAAAUUGUCUGUUUGAUGUCCUAUGCGCAUUUAUUUAUUGUGGUUUUACUCUACUUUUGACCAUUCUAAU
Physeter macrocephalus (sperm whale) is the source of this 3232-nucleotide long non-coding RNA. RefSeq lists it as uncharacterized. The record is from RefSeq and is a predicted model, not a curated record. Lineage: Eukaryota; Metazoa; Chordata; Mammalia; Artiodactyla; Physeteridae. The transcript has 3 exons.